CUAGCCGUAAACGAUGGAUACUAGGCGUUGUGAGUAUCGACCCUCACAGUGUCGUAGCUAACGCGUUAAGUAUCCCGCCUGGGGAGUACGCGCGCAAGCGUGAAACUCAAAGGAAUUGACGGAGGCCCGCACAAGCGGUGGAGUAUGUGGUUUAAUUCGAUGCAACGCGAAGAACCUUACCAGGACUUGACAUGUCGCGAAUCUCAGGGAAACUUGAGAGUGCCUUCGGGAGCGCGAACACAGGUGGUGC
Molecule: ribosomal RNA, 250 nt
Filed under: uncultured Chroococcidiopsis sp.
Lineage: Bacteria; Bacillati; Cyanobacteriota; Cyanophyceae; Chroococcidiopsidales; Chroococcidiopsidaceae
Description: partial 16S ribosomal RNA
Rfam family: Bacterial small subunit ribosomal RNA
Source: RNAcentral